ACACAUGCAAGUCGAGCGGAAACGACUUAUCUGAACCUUCGGGGAACGAUAACGGCGUCGAGCGGCGGACGGGUGAGUAAUGCCUAGGAAAUUGCCUUGAUGUGGGGGAUAACCAUUGGAAACGAUGGCUAAUACCGCAUAAUGCCUACGGGCCAAAGAGGGGGACCUUCGGGCCUCUCGCGUCAAGAUAUGCCUAGGUGGGAUUAGCUAGUUGGUGAGGUAAUGGCUCACCAAGGCGACGAUCCCUAGCUGGUCUGAGAGGAUGAUCAGCCACACUGGAACUGAGACACGGUCCAGACUCCUACGGGAGGCAGCAGUGGGGAAUAUUGCACAAUGGGCGAAAGCCUGAUGCAGCCAUGCCGCGUGUAUGAAGAAGGCCUUCGGGUUGUAAAGUACUUUCAGUUGUGAGGAAGGGGGUGUCGUUAAUAGCGGCAUCUCUUGACGUUAGCAACAGAAGAAGCACCGGCUAACUCCGUGCCAGCAGGCGCGGUAAUACGGAGGGUGCGAGCGUUAAUCGGAAUUACUGGGCGUAAAGCGCAUGCAGGUGGUUCAU
RNAcentral lists this ribosomal RNA (553 nucleotides) under Vibrio splendidus. Its description in RNAcentral is "bacterial SSU rRNA". It matches the Rfam family "Bacterial small subunit ribosomal RNA", at positions 51 to 583 of the family's 1533-position model. Lineage: Bacteria; Pseudomonadati; Pseudomonadota; Gammaproteobacteria; Vibrionales; Vibrionaceae. The record is from RNAcentral.